AUUGAACGCUGGCGGCAUGCCUUACACAUGCAAGUCGAACGGUAACGGGCCUUCGGGUGCCGACGAGUGGCGAACGGGUGAGUAAUACAUCGGAACGUGCCCGAUCGUGGGGGAUAACGAGGCGAAAGCUUUGCUAAUACCGCAUACGAUCUACGGAUGAAAGCAGGGGACCGCAAGGCCUUGCGCGGACGGAGCGGCCGAUGGCAGAUUAGGUAGUUGGUGGGAUAAAAGCUUACCAAGCCGACGAUCUGUAGCUGGUCUGAGAGGAUGAUCAGCCACACUGGGACCGAGACACGGCCCAGACUCCUACGGGAGGCAGCAGUGGGGAAUUUUGGACAAUGGGCGCAAGCCUGAUCCAGCCAUGCCGCGUGCAGGAUGAAGGCCUUCGGGUUGUAAACUGCUUUUGUACGGAACGAAAAGCCUUCUUUUAAUACAGGAGGGUCAUGACGGUACCGUAAGAAUAAGCACCGGCUAACUACGUG
This 482-nucleotide ribosomal RNA is filed under the name uncultured bacterium. Its description in RNAcentral is "partial 16S ribosomal RNA". It matches the Rfam family "Bacterial small subunit ribosomal RNA", at positions 30 to 507 of the family's 1533-position model. The record is from RNAcentral.